This 407-nucleotide ribosomal RNA is filed under the name uncultured bacterium. RNAcentral describes it as "partial 16S ribosomal RNA". It matches the Rfam family "Bacterial small subunit ribosomal RNA", at positions 28 to 526 of the family's 1533-position model. The record is from RNAcentral.
GACGAACGCUGGCGGCGUGCCUAAUACAUGCAAGUAGGACGCAGUUGCGAACGGGUGAGUAACGCGUAGGUAACUACCUAUUAGAGGGGGAUAACUAUUGGAAACGAUAGCUAAUACCGCAUACUAGUAGAUGGACCUGCGUUGUAUUAGGUAGUAGGUAGGGUAAUGGCCUAACUAGGCAACGAUACAUAGCCGACCUGGAGAGGUGGUCGGGCAAAAUGGGACUGGGGCACGGGCCAGGCUCCUACGGGGGGGAGCAGUAGGGGAUCUUCGGCAAUGGGGGGAAACCUGACCGAGCAACGCCGCGGGAGUGAAAAAGGUUUUCGGAUCGGAAAGGUCUGUUGUUAAGGAAGCGGUACUUAACCAAGAAGGGACGGCUAACUACGUGCCAGCAGCCGCGGUAAUAC